Long non-coding RNA from Papaver somniferum (opium poppy), 1561 nucleotides. RefSeq lists it as uncharacterized. The record is from RefSeq and is a predicted model, not a curated record. Lineage: Eukaryota; Viridiplantae; Streptophyta; Magnoliopsida; Ranunculales; Papaveraceae. The transcript has 5 exons.
CUGAAACACAGACCUGGUAGUUUUGCUCGAGUUUGGCUGGCUAUUUGACGAAAACAUCAAUCGGAGCAAUGACAUGAAGUUGAAGAAAAAUGUCCUGAUAAAGACAUUAAGGUGAAGCUUAUGUCUGUUGUCAUGUGUUUUGAAUUCAAAAGGGAUGGCUAGAGCAGAGAUGGGUCUUGUUAUUCGAUGUGGCUAUUCAAUUGAACCUUGUUAACUUGGUUAAUGGACAAAGUCAUGGAAAUUGUGUUCAAACUUGUUCAGAUGCAGGUUCUUAUAUUGGUGAAUUCAAGUGUGGAGUUAAACAUGGUUUUGGUUGUUAUCAUUUCAGGGCAUUCAAUUGAGAAAUUGAUGUAACAACAAAUUUGAAGGACAGUCUGGUUAAGAAGUGAUAGAGAGGGGGGGAAAUGGAGAUUGAAGUAGUGAAGAAGUAUUUGGAGAGAAAAUCAUCAGAAGGGGAAGAAACAUAUGACCUACCAGGAGUAUGAGGAAGAAGUAAAUAAAGCCGUAACUGAGAUGGGUAGACGAGGAAUGCACAAAUACCAAAUGACAAACCUUGAAUGUGCAGUAUCAGCAACCCUCUAGAAUUACUGAAUUAGUGAACUCCAAGAACUUAAAUCUGCACUUCAGCACCUAAUCAAAAACACAAGAAAAACAAAUAAAUUAGAUUUCAACAACAUUUAAUAAACCCAAUUCAGAAAACCCACUCCACUCAUACACUUGAUCAAGUCAGAUAACUUCUCAGUACCUAUUGAUUCUUCAUUUCAAUAAAAUCCAUUUUAUUUAGACAAACAUGGAGGUGAUGAAACAUAAGAAGAUUCAUGAAACAUAAGAAUUAACUACUUGUCAUUCUUGUCCUGCUCUAACAUGUAAUUGCAGUUAACUACUUGGUACUUAUAUAGCAUCAUCAACAAAGUCUAACAGCAGUAUAAUGAACCAAAUCGUAAUCCCAGAUUGCUAAUUGUAACUAGUAGGAACACCUAACCCAUAUUAACUUUAUAAACAAAAGUUACAAAACCACAGAAUUGGAGCAUCACUGCAAGUAAAUGCACUUUGACAACACCAGAAAUCAGAACAAUUACUAACACCCUAAUUUCAUUAACAAAAAGAAAAAGAAGUACUCAAAUUACUAAAACAGCACCAUUACCAUUCAAAAAUUAGCACUAGACACUAGACAGUGAAUUAGGAACAACAUAAUCCAAAACAAAAACAAAUCUCUAACCUUUUCCUUCUCUUUCUCCACUCCCUUAGAUAAUCUGAUUGAUACUUAAUCCAGUUCAGUUCAGUUCCUUUCUUUUCCCUUUGUCUUACCCUGUGAAAGUGAAACCCUAAUAUAAUCAGACAUAGAUUUCAAGAUUAAAAGAUUCAAAACUUCACAAAAGUAAUGUUACCUUCUUGAAGAUCAGAUAAUGCUGUCAUUCAAAUUAUGAAGCUCAAUUAAGAUCAGAUAAUGUUGUCAUUCAAAUUAUGAAGCUCAAUUAUUGCCUGUUGAACAGAUUAGGAAGAAAAGAAAAAGUUGAACCCCAAUUAAAAUUCAAAACUAAAACAAACCAACAACUCAAAU